This 801-nucleotide ribosomal RNA is filed under the name uncultured bacterium. RNAcentral describes it as "bacterial SSU rRNA". It matches the Rfam family "Bacterial small subunit ribosomal RNA", at positions 78 to 879 of the family's 1533-position model. The record is from RNAcentral.
UGCUAAGUUUGAUGGCGACCGGCGCACGGGUGAGUAACACGUAUCCAACCUGCCGAUGACUCGGGGAUAGCCUUUCGAAAGAAAGAUUAAUACCCGAUGGCAUAGUUCUUCCGCAUGGUAGAACUAUUAAAGAAUUUCGGUCAUCGAUGGGGAUGCGUUCCAUUAGGUUGUUGGCGGGGUAACGGCCCACCAAGCCUUCGAUGGAUAGGGGUUCUGAGAGGAAGGUCCCCCACAUUGGAACUGAGACACGGUCCAAACUCCUACGGGAGGCAGCAGUGAGGAAUAUUGGUCAAUGGACGAGAGUCUGAACCAGCCAAGUAGCGUGAAGGAUGACUGCCCUAUGGGUUGUAAACUUCUUUUAUACGGGAAUAAAGUGAGGCACGCGUGCCUUUUUGUAUGUACCGUAUGAAUAAGGAUCGGCUAACUCCGUGCCAGCAGCCGCGGUAAUACGGAGGAUCCGAGCGUUAUCCGGAUUUAUUGGGUUUAAAAGGAGCGUAGGCGGACGCUUAAGUCAGUUGUGAAAGUUUGCGGCUCAACCGUAAAAUUGCAGUUGAUACUGGGUGUCUUGAGUACAGUAGAGGCAGGCGGAAUUCGUGGUGUAGCGGUGAAAUGCUUAGAUAUCACGAAGAACUCCGAUUGCGAAGGCAGCCUGCUGGACUGUAACUGACGCUGAUGCUCGAAAGUGUGGGUAUCAAACAGGAUUAGAUACCCUGGUAGUCCACACAGUAAACGAUGAAUACUCGCUGUUUGCGAUAUACAGUAAGCGGCCAAGCCGAAAGCGUUAAGUAUUCCACCUGGGGA